GAUGAACGCUGGCGGCGUGCCUAAUACAUGCAGGUCGAGCGAACGGACGAGAAGCUUGCUUCUCGGAUGUUAGCGGCGGACGGGUGAGUAACACGUGGAUAACCUACCUAUAAGACUGGGAUAACUUCGGGAAACGGGAGCUAAUACCGGAGAAUAUUUUGAACCGCAUGGUUCAAAAGUGAAAGACGGUCUUGCGGUCACUUAUAGAUGGAUCCGCGCUGCAUUAGCUAGUUGGUAAGGUAACGGCUUACCAAGGCAACGAUGCAUAGCCGACCUGAGAGGCUGAUCGGCCCCACUGGAACUGAGCCACGGUCCAGACUCCUACGGGAGGCAGCAGUAGGGAAUCUUCCGCAAUGGGCGAAAGCCUGACGGAGCAACGCCGCGUGAGUGAUGAAGGUCUUCGGAUCGUAAAACUCUGUUAUUAGGGAAGAACAUAUGUGUAAGUAACUGUGCACAUCUUGACGGUACCUAAUCAGAAAGCCCCGGCUAACUACGUG
This 497-nucleotide ribosomal RNA is filed under the name uncultured bacterium. RNAcentral's name for it is "partial 16S ribosomal RNA". It matches the Rfam family "Bacterial small subunit ribosomal RNA", at positions 28 to 507 of the family's 1533-position model. The record is from RNAcentral.